Molecule: transfer-messenger RNA, 399 nt
Filed under: Tannerella sp.
Lineage: Bacteria; Pseudomonadati; Bacteroidota; Bacteroidia; Bacteroidales; Tannerellaceae
Rfam family: transfer-messenger RNA
About the family: Bacterial tmRNA, also known as 10Sa RNA or SsrA, is named for its dual tRNA and mRNA-like properties. Its role is to liberate the mRNA from a stalled ribosome.
Source: RNAcentral
GGGGCUGACCGGUUUUGACAGCGGGUAGAAGUGGUUUGUAAGCAUGCAGUGCGUCGUUGGCCGGCACUUUAAUCUCGGUUGAUAACAAAUUAACUGGCGAAAACAAUUAUGCUCUCGCUGCGUGAUCGAAGAAUAGUAGAUUAGCGCUUAAUCCUUACACAAGGUGUUUGGACGAGACGUCGCCCGAAAGCUCUGGCUUCGAAGCGUUCGAUAAGGCGGCGCAGGUGUAUCGGAGAUAGUUCGCGGGAAGUCCCGGACUGCGGAUGAAGAUUUAGGGACUAAGGUUGCGAUAGGUGGCUUCGGUCUUGUCGCUACUCGAAAAAAUAAGCGAAGAUAAGCAUGUAGAAAGCAAAUUAGUUCCUCGUUUGGACGAGAGUUCGAAUCUCUCCAGCUCCACAA